This 468-nucleotide ribosomal RNA is filed under the name Triticum aestivum (bread wheat). RNAcentral's name for it is "partial small subunit ribosomal RNA". The record is from RNAcentral. Lineage: Eukaryota; Viridiplantae; Streptophyta; Magnoliopsida; Poales; Poaceae.
AUGGCGAUCGUUGCUUUAGAUGAGCUUGUCCAAGGAAAUAGCAACGAGUCAGUCUGUGUGUAUGUAUCGCGACUAUGGAACCAUCAUGGAGGCACUGACACUGGUCCGAUCAAGCACACUAACAUGGUUCUUAUGGAUGCCGUGGGCAACCACAUGUAUGCUGAGAUUUCUGAGAAACUGGUUCCUACAUUUGCGCCAAGGAUUCGUGAAGGCUGUGCUUAUGUGAUUUCUCAGUUCUUGGUGUUUCCAAACAAACGCUAUUUCAAGCCUGUCGCUGGACCACAUAUGAUCAGAUUCAACCGUUUUACCACAACCGACCCUCCAGCUGAUGAAGAGAUUGAAUUCCCAUUCUGUACUUACUCACUCACUGCUUUGUCUCAUCUUCCUGCGCCGGUUGAGACCCCUGACUAUUUCACAGGUGUGUUUAUUGCCUUCUUAUUUUUGCAGCUUCUCUGUCUAUGCUUUUAA